Molecule: ribosomal RNA, 392 nt
Filed under: Arcocellulus sp.
Lineage: Eukaryota; Bacillariophyta; Thalassiosirophyceae; Cymatosirales; Cymatosiraceae
Description: partial small subunit ribosomal RNA
Rfam family: Eukaryotic small subunit ribosomal RNA
Source: RNAcentral
AUUCCAGCUCCAAUAGCGUAUAUUAAAGUUGUUGCAGUUAAAAAGCUCGUAGUUGGAUUUCUGGUGGGAGCGAUCGGUCUGGCGCUUAGCGCGAGUACUUGCAUCGUCUCCGGCCAUCCUUGGGGAGAGUUUGUCUGGCAUUAAGUUGUCGGGCAGAGGAUCCUCAUCGUUUACUGUGAAAAAAUUAGAGUGUUCAAAGCAGGCUUAUGCCGUUGAAUAUAUUAGCAUGGAAUAAUAAGAUAGGACUUUGGUACUAUUUUGUUGGUUUGCGCACCAAAGUAAUGAUUAAUAGGGAUAGUUGGGGGCAUUAGUACUUAACUGUCAGAGGUGAAAUUCUCCGAUUUGUUAAAGACUAACUUAUGCGAAAGCAUUUGCCAAGGAUGUUUUCAUCG